CCCUUAGAUGUUCUGGGCCGCACGCGCGCUACACUGAUGCAUUCAACGAGUUUCUUCCUGGUCCGAGAGGAAUGGGUAACCUUUUGAAAGUGCAUCGUGAUAGGGAUAGACUAUUGCAAUUAUUGGUCUUCAACGAGGAAUUCCUAGUAGACGUAGUUCAUCAGACUGCAUCGAUUACGUCCCUGCCCUUUGUACACACCGCCCGUCGCUCCUACCGAUUGAAUGCUCAGGUGAGUUAUUCGGACCGAGAGCUAGUUUGGUUCGCCAGUCUAGUUUUUGGAAAGUCGAGUGAACCUUAAUGCUUAGAGGAAGGAGAAGUCGUAACA
This 326-nucleotide ribosomal RNA is filed under the name uncultured eukaryote. RNAcentral describes it as "partial 18S ribosomal RNA". It matches the Rfam family "Eukaryotic small subunit ribosomal RNA", at positions 1470 to 1796 of the family's 1831-position model. The record is from RNAcentral.